UACGGAGGGUGCGAGCGUUAAUCGGAAUUACUGGGCGUAAAGCGCGCGUAGGCGGCGUGAUAAGCCGGUUGUGAAAGCCCCGGGCGCAAACUGGGAACGGCAUCCGGAACUGUCAAGCUAGAGUGCAGGCGAGGCAGGUAGAAUUCCCGGUGUAGCGGUGAAAUGCGUUGAGAUCGGGAGGAAUACCAGUGGCGAAGGCGGCCUUCUGGACUGACACUGACACUGAGGUGCGAAAGCGUGGGUAGCAAACAGG
Molecule: unclassified non-coding RNA, 253 nt
Filed under: uncultured Halomonadaceae bacterium
Lineage: Bacteria; Pseudomonadati; Pseudomonadota; Gammaproteobacteria; Oceanospirillales; Halomonadaceae
Description: contains 16S-23S intergenic spacer region
Rfam family: Bacterial small subunit ribosomal RNA
Source: RNAcentral